GAUGAACGCUGGCGGCGUGCCUAAUACAUGCAAGUCGAACGAAACUUCUUUAUCACCGAGUGCUUGCACUCACCGAUAAAGAGUUGAGUGGCGAACGGGUGAGUAACACGUGGGCAACCUGCCCAAAAGAGGGGGAUAACACUUGGAAACAGGUGCUAAUACCGCAUAACCAUAGUUACCGCAUGGUAACUAUGUAAAAGGUGGCUAUACUACCGCUUUUGGAUGGGCCCGCGGCGCAUUAGCUAGUUGGUAGGGUAAAGGCUUACCAAGGCAAUGAUGCGUAGCCGAAUUGAGAGGUUGAUCGGCCACAUUGGGACUGAGACACGGCCCAAACUCCUACGGGAGGCAGCAGUAGGGAAUCUUCCACAAUGGGCGAAAGCCUGAUGGAGCAACGCCGCGUGGGUGAAGAAGGUCUUCGGAUCGUAAAACCCUGUUGUUAGAGAAGAAAGUGCGUGAGAGUAACUGUUCACGUUUCGACGGUAUCUAACCAGAAAGCCACAGCUAACUACGUG
This 512-nucleotide ribosomal RNA is filed under the name uncultured bacterium. RNAcentral's name for it is "partial 16S ribosomal RNA". It matches the Rfam family "Bacterial small subunit ribosomal RNA", at positions 28 to 507 of the family's 1533-position model. The record is from RNAcentral.